RNAcentral lists this ribosomal RNA (380 nucleotides) under uncultured Anaerolineaceae bacterium. RNAcentral's name for it is "bacterial SSU rRNA". It matches the Rfam family "Bacterial small subunit ribosomal RNA", at positions 989 to 1382 of the family's 1533-position model. The record is from RNAcentral. Lineage: Bacteria; Bacillati; Chloroflexota; Anaerolineae; Anaerolineales; Anaerolineaceae.
UAGGUUGUAGGGAACUGAAAGGGACCGACCCUUCGGGGAGCCUAUUACAGGUGUUGCAUGGCUGUCGUCAGCUCGUGUCGUGAGAUGUUCGGUUAAGUCCGCUAACGAGCGCAACCCUCGUCGUAUGUUAUAUGUGUCAUACGAGACUGCCGGUAAAAAGCCGGAGGAAGGUGAGGAUGAUGUCAAGUCAGCAUGACCUUUAUAUCCAGGGCUACACACACGCUACAAUGGUCUGUACAAUGGGUAGCCAAGCCGCGAGGCGGAGCCAAUCCUGAAAGCAGGCCUCAGUUCAGAUUGCAGUCUGCAACUCGACUGCAUGAAGCCGGAGUUGCUAGUAACCGCAGGUCAGCAAUACUGCGGUGAAUACGUUCCCGGGUCUU